This 301-nucleotide ribosomal RNA is filed under the name uncultured bacterium. RNAcentral's name for it is "partial 16S ribosomal RNA". It matches the Rfam family "Bacterial small subunit ribosomal RNA", at positions 509 to 807 of the family's 1533-position model. The record is from RNAcentral.
CAGUCGCCACGGUAAUACGAGGGGGGCAAGCGUUGUUCGGAAUUAUUGGGCGUAAAGGGCGCGUAGGCGGUUUGGCAAGUUUGGUGUGAAAUCUUCGGGCUCAACUCGAAGUCUGCACCGAAAACUGCCGGGCUUGAGUAUGGGAGAGGUGAGUGGAAUUUCCGGUGUAGCGGUGAAAUGCGUAGAUAUCGGAAGGAACACCUGUGGCGAAAGCGGCUCACUGGACCAUUACUGACGCUGAGGCGCGAAAGCUAGGGGAGCAAACAGGAUUAGAUACCCGUGUAGUCCCUGUCUCUUAUAC